UAGGGAAUCUUCCACAAUGGACGAAAGUCUGAUGGAGCAACGCCGCGUGAGUGAUGAAGGGUUUCGGCUCGUAAAACUCUGUUGUUGGAGAAGAACAGGUGUGAGAGUAACUGUUCACAUCUUGACGGUAUCCAACCAGAAAGCCACGGCUAACUACGUGCCAGCAGCCGCGGUAAUACGUAGGUGGCAAGCGUUGUCCGGAUUUAUUGGGCGUAAAGCGAGCGCAGGCGGUUUCUUAGGUCUGAUGUGAAAGCCUUCGGCUUAACCGGAGAAGUGCAUCGGAAACCAGGAGACUUGAGUGCAGAAGAGGACAGUGGAACUCCAUGUGUAGCGGUGAAAUGCGUAGAUAUAUGGAAGAACACCAGUGGCGAAGGCGGCUGUCUGGUCUGUAACUGACGCUGAGGCUCGAAAGCAUGGGUAGCGAACAGGAUUAGAUACCCUGGUAGUCCAUGCCGUAAACGAUGAGUGCUAAGUGUUGGAGGGUUUCCGCCCUUCAGUGCUGCAGCUAACGCAUUAAGCACUCCGCCUGGGGGAGUACGACCGCAA
This 546-nucleotide ribosomal RNA is filed under the name uncultured bacterium. Its description in RNAcentral is "partial 16S ribosomal RNA". It matches the Rfam family "Bacterial small subunit ribosomal RNA", at positions 355 to 891 of the family's 1533-position model. The record is from RNAcentral.